UGGGGAAUAUUGCACAAUGGGCGCAAGCCUGAUGCAGCCAUGCCGCGUGUAUGAAGAAGGCCUUCGGGUUGUAAAGUACUUUCAGCGGGGAGGAAGGGAGUAAAGUUAAUACCUUUGCUCAUUGACGUUACCCGCAGAAGAAGCACCGGCUAACUCCGUGCCAGCAGCCGCGGUAAUACGGAGGGUGCAAGCGUUAAUCGGAAUUACUGGGUGUAAAGCGCACGCAGGCGGUUUGUUAAGUCAGAUGUGAAAUCCCCGGGCUCAACCUGGGAACUGCAUCUGAUACUGGCAAGCUUGAGUCUCGUAGAGGGGGGUAGAAUUCCAGGUGUAGCGGUGAAAUGCGUAGAGAUCUGGAGGAAUACCGGUGGCGAAGGCGGCCCCCUGGACGAAGACUGACGCUCAGGUGCGAAAGCGUGGGGAGCAAACAGG
This 429-nucleotide ribosomal RNA is filed under the name Chloroflexota bacterium. RNAcentral describes it as "Chloroflexi bacterium partial 16S ribosomal RNA". It matches the Rfam family "Bacterial small subunit ribosomal RNA", at positions 355 to 776 of the family's 1533-position model. RNAcentral also lists the same sequence under 1 other name. Lineage: Bacteria; Bacillati; Chloroflexota. The record is from RNAcentral.